Molecule: ribosomal RNA, 254 nt
Filed under: uncultured bacterium
Lineage: Bacteria
Description: partial 16S ribosomal RNA
Rfam family: Bacterial small subunit ribosomal RNA
Source: RNAcentral
UACGUAGGGGGCAAGCGUUGUCCGGAAUCAUUGGGCGUAAAGAGCGUGUAGGCGGCCAGAAAAGUCCGCUGUGAAAACUCGAGGCUCAACUUCGAGCUGUCGGUGGAAACUUUCUGGCUAGAGUCCGGAAGAGGAGAAUGGAAUUCCUGGUGUAGCGGUGAAAUGCGCAGAUAUCAGGAAGAACACCCGUGGCGAAGGCGGUUCUCUGGGACGGUACUGACGCUGAGACGGCGAAAGCGUGGGGAGCGAACAGG